AUGGCGGGGCUCGCCGGAGUGGCUAUAGCACGGAACUUUUUGCAGGAGGUGAUGGUGGCUCAUGUCGCCCAUGUCCACGAGGCUGGCAACGAGCUCCGCAGGCUAGAGGUGUGCGCCCACCUGCCGGCGAGGCUCCUCGUGGUGCUACCGUCGUCGAUGGAGCGCGCGCGCGAGGAGACCGUCCAUCGACAUGGUGUGUUGGAAGGACGAAGGAGCAUGCCGUGA
Molecule: ribosomal RNA, 225 nt
Filed under: Triticum aestivum (bread wheat)
Lineage: Eukaryota; Viridiplantae; Streptophyta; Magnoliopsida; Poales; Poaceae
Description: partial small subunit ribosomal RNA
Source: RNAcentral